Unclassified non-coding RNA from Pongo abelii (Sumatran orangutan), 148 nucleotides. It matches the Rfam family "Metazoan signal recognition particle RNA". Rfam says of the family: The signal recognition particle (SRP) is a universally conserved ribonucleoprotein. NCBI's taxonomy places the organism in Eukaryota, Metazoa, Chordata, Mammalia, Primates, Hominidae. The record is from Ensembl.
GCUAGGUAUGGUGGCACAUGCCUGUAGUCCCAGCUACUGGGGAAGCUGAGGCAGGAGGAUCACUUGAGCCAAGGAGUUUGGGGCUGCAGUGAGCCAUGAUUGAGCCACUGCACUCCAGCCUGGAUGACAGAGUGAGACCUUGUCUCUU